AUAGCACUGUAUUGUAUAAAAACAAGAAAUAAGCUAAGAUUGAAAACGUGUAAUCACUGUAACAGAUGUAGUGCAGUGUGUGCGUGUGUCCCUUUAAGGGGUGUGGCCUGUUGAGUAAUGUUAAAAACAUGGCAUGUGCCCAUCUUUGUUUAUUUUUUGCUCCGUUUUGUUAUUUCUUCUCUCCACUCGAGUUAUGGCGUCUCUCAAUCUCGCUCGCGACAAUUUCGGCCACUUGGACCGUCGAGAGAAAACUGACUGAAUACUUUGUCCCUCAGGAGAUUUUCACGUAUGUGUACGACGAGUCACGACACUUGACUUGUACUCCCAACAGUUUGAAAACAGAUAUGCGCAUUUCUGACUCCUUCUCUUUCAUAAUCUUCCAGGCUUAUUUGACGACUUGUAAAUAGACGAAGGGAGGCUGGCGGCUCUGACGACAAAGGCGCUCGAUUUCCGUGACUCUCCGCACACCUGUCCAGAAAUAUGCUGCCAUUCUGGUUCUCUGCGCCAACGAGGGGGUGCCCUCGGCGCAAAGGCCCCGCAGGGCUCAUCAUCAUCAUCAUCAUCAUCGUCCGUGCGACUCCCAACGACUGUCAGAAUGGCGGCCUCCGGCCACCUGCGGCGACUUCUCUUCCUGAGGUGCGAUCCGACUCCGGAUAACCGGAACAAUCCACCUUAAGGAAACAGCCCAAAGUGACAAACUCAAGUCCAAAGUGAGACAGUUUGACCGUUUUUUUUUUUGGUUUUUUUUUACACAUGUGUGUGUGUGUGUGUUGUCCUCCUGCUCUGUUGCCUGAGUGUAAACACGAAUCGGAAUUGGCCGGCGGCGAGGUUGCUUUUGCGUUCGUCCCCAAACGCAGUUCAAGAACAAGUUGGGCUUGAUGAAAUGCGGCCUGCUCGCCGCGCUCACCAGAAAAUGAUGACGACGUUCCGCUUCGGUUUCAUAACACGUCAUCGUAAACAAACAGGAAAAAUCAUAUUUCUGUGUUUAGGGCAAUCGGUUGAAGAAAUUUCACUGUUGAUUCAAAUUCAGAUCUUGGAUUAUUAUUCCCAUUUUUAGUCAACACAUUUUUUUAUUAUUUAUAUUCAAUUAAUCAAAUGUAUGUGCAUCCGUUUAUUUACUAUGCCGGUUUAGGGUUAACCUAUCUCAGCUGACUUUGGUCUCAGAGGCGGGGUACACCCUGGACAUGUAAACAGUGGAUAGAAAAAGUCUACACACCCCUGUUCAAAUGUCAGAUUCUUGUGCGAUUAAAAACAUCAUCAGAUUACGAUAAAUCGUUGGAAAACUUUUUCCGCCAUUAACCUGUUCAACUUCAUUGAAACAAACGUUUCCAAAUUUUGGAGAGAGAGAGAGAAAAAAAAUAACACUCAAAGUCUCCCAAACACCAAUGGGAAAAUGUGUGAUAGGCUGUCACACACAGCUGGAACUGGGGCCUCAGACAAGAUGGAGGGAAUUAUGAACGGCUUCAAAUAACAGUCCGCGUCAGCACGAAACCUUCAGGCUUCUGCGAGAAAGCAAAAAGCAAAAAACAAAACAAAACAAAACAAAAAAAGUCAGGAAAAGCCUACUAGAACAUCAAAACUUCAUUUGGAGUUAAUCAAUCAAUCACCCUCCGAAAGGUUGCAUUUAAAACGGGUAUGCAGACUUGUGUGUGGUAGUUUUUGUUAUUUGUUUUCGUCUCUAUUUUUUAAAAUAUAUUGACUGUCGGGUUGACA
This is a long non-coding RNA of Hippocampus zosterae (dwarf seahorse), 1713 nucleotides long. RefSeq lists it as uncharacterized. The transcript is spliced from 3 exons. The record is from RefSeq and is a predicted model, not a curated record. Lineage: Eukaryota; Metazoa; Chordata; Actinopteri; Syngnathiformes; Syngnathidae.